GCCCUUAGAGUUUGAUCCUGGCUCAGAUUGAACGCUGGCGGCAGGCCUAACACAUGCAAGUCGAACGGUAACAGGAAGCAGCUUGCUGCUUUGCUGACGAGUGGCGGACGGGUGAGUAAUGUCUGGGAAACUGCCUGAUGGAGGGGGAUAACUACUGGAAACGGUAGCUAAUACCGCAUAACGUCGCAAGACCAAAGAGGGGGACCUUCGGGCCUCUUGCCAUCGGAUGUGCCCAGAUGGGAUUAGCUAGUAGGUGGGGUAACGGCUCACCUAGGCGACGAUCCCUAGCUGGUCUGAGAGGAUGACCAGCCACACUGGAACUGAGACACGGUCCAGACUCCUACGGGAGGCAGCAGUGGGGAAUAUUGCACAAUGGGCGCAAGCCUGAUGCAGCCAUGCCGCGUGUAUGAAGAAGGCCUUCGGGUUGUAAAGUACUUUCAGCGGGGAGGAAGGCGAUAAGGUUAAUAACCUUGUCGAUUGACGUACCCGCAGAAGAAGCACNCGGCAACU
This 510-nucleotide ribosomal RNA is filed under the name uncultured bacterium. Its description in RNAcentral is "bacterial SSU rRNA". It matches the Rfam family "Bacterial small subunit ribosomal RNA", at positions 1 to 502 of the family's 1533-position model. The record is from RNAcentral.